RNA transcript from Ziziphus jujuba (common jujube), 2482 nucleotides. It is a transcript of the gene named protein DETOXIFICATION 26-like, with no coding region annotated. The record is from RefSeq and is a predicted model, not a curated record. The transcript has 3 exons. Lineage: Eukaryota; Viridiplantae; Streptophyta; Magnoliopsida; Rosales; Rhamnaceae.
ACUCAAAUAUGCUCUGCGUAUAGGGUAGCUGCCUCCUUUCUUUUAACUUUUUUCCAUACAUCUAACACUUGAAAUCCAGGACUAUGGGAGUUCAACUUUUUUCCUCCUUUCUUUUGACUUGGACUGGUUACACCAUUGAAGCAUUUUCAGGACUUUAUCAAAUUCAGCUGCUUUCUGGGGUCAUGCUCUGCUUGGACAGCCGGUGCUAUACAAUAGUUUUGUUGGUGACUGGAAAUCUAAAUAUUGCAGAGAUCGAGUUGGAUGCUUUGUCCAUAUGGUAUGAACCAAAUGUACAUUUUUCUGGUCUAUGAGCUCUCUUUUCUCUUUUGUUCAUUUUAGUUAAAUAAUUUUUAUAUGGUGAACAAAGUUUAUUAUUUUAAAAGUCAUAGUAGCUUUUCAGUUUCAAGAUAAGCCGAUAUAAUCUUAUUUUGUAGUUAGAAUUAUACAUACACAAACGCUUUUUGUUAUUGUAUGAUUUCUAAUGGAAAUUGCCUCUUUGGCGGCAUCAACAUAGAUGGGUUGUUGAUGAUGAUUGUUCUAUCUUUUUUGGCUCCAACUGGGUAAUUAUUUUUUGUUUUCGAUGACCAUCUUUUUCUUUUCUUUUCUUUUCUUUUUUUUUUCUUUUUUAAAUAUUAUCAAUAAUUUAAUCCUACUUUUUUGACUUUAACUUAAAGAUAUUAAUAACUUUGAUACAAAAGAAACUAUUAAAAUUUUUUUAAAUAUUAUCAAUAAUUUAAUCCUACUUUUUUGACUUUAAGUUAAAGAUAUUAAUAACUUUUAUACAAAAAAAACUAAUAAAAAUGAAAACAAAAAAGAAAAAAAUAAUUUAAAAAUACAAAUUUUUUGUUAUAAAAGAAUCCAAAGAGCUUCAGAAAACAAGUGUUAAUUUCUAGAUGGUGCGUCGCUUGUUUUUGCGCACUGUUUUUGUUCUGCCUAUUUGCUUCUAUAUUUCCGCCAUAAAACAAACGAAUUAAAAACAUCUCUUCCUCAUCUGUGCAUAACUGAUGCCUUUAAUUUUUAUUUUCAUAAAUUUUUCUUUUUUGAUCAUAUGUAUUUCAUAACUUGAAGAAACACUCAUUAUAUAUACCUUUCAUUUUGUUGCAUUGUUACCUCUUUUUGAAAAUUUAAUUUUUUGAAAUUUUCAUGUUUGAAUUGAAUGUAUACAUAUGAAAAUGCAACAAUUUAUAUGCAUAAUUAAUAUAUAUAUAUAUAUAUAUAUAGUUUACCUGAAGAAUGACAUUGCAACAAAAAUGAAGAGAAUGUUUUUGUAAUAUUUUCAAAUAUAUAUAUAUAUAUAUAUAAUAUUAAUUAAUAAACGCAGUUUUUCAGAACAUUGCAAAUUAGGAGAAGUAUUCAUGUGAACGUGAAAAUUUUCUUGUCCUUGAAGUUCGUUCUGGGCGUUUGCCCCGUCCAAAUCAAAAGAUUAAAAAAAAAAGAAAAGUGUUGUUAAUGGUUUUGAAUAUGAAAAUUAAUAAAGUGCGGGUGGCAAAUGAGCUUGCAGCAAGAAAUGGAAGAGAAGCAAAAUUUGCUUCAACUGUAUCGGUAAUAUCAUCGAUUAUAAUCGGCCUCCUUUGCGGGGUAUUGAUUAUGAUAUUCAACAAUGAAAUCGGUUUGCUAUUUACUUCAAGUAAAGCUGUUCUUCGACAAGUUAAUAAACUCAGUCUAUUCUGCUAAACAGUGUUCAACGUAUUCACUUUGCAGUAGCAGUGGAAUGUGAAUGGCAAUUCUAUAUUGCAUACAUAAAUUUGGAUUGUUAUUAUCUGAUCGAAGUACCUUUUGGAUAUUUAAUGGGGUGGGACUUCCACAAAGAAGUUAUGAUAUGUAUUAUCCUUUUGUACACUUAUUAAGAAUUAAGAGAGCAACGAAUCAUGUGUAAGUUUAUACUGACUUCAUUGUUAAGGAAAUAGUGACUUCAUUGAUGUAGAAACAGUCUGGCAAUAAUGUUCACACUACUUUAUAUAUAAGGUUUCGAGUUCAAAUAACUUAAAUUAAAAAUAAAAAAUAAAAAAAAAAUGACUUCACCACAUGGAUGAUUAUGUGUAAAUUAUUGACAUGAUCAGGUGAUAUUUUUUUUUUUUUUUUUUUGGUCCAUAUAGUUACUAACAUUGAUACUAGUUCACCUUUCCAUUAUUUAGAAUUUUAGGAUUAACAAAACCACAUGUCAAACAAUAAAUAGAAUAUGACAAUAAUUGGCAAGUAGCAAUUUACCUAUUACAUAUGAUACUACUUUUACCACUAGAAUACAUAAUUUCUUUGGGCAUGCAAUUAUCAGGGCACUUGGGGUGGCGUGAUUGGUGGAAAAGCAAUUCAGACCUUGAUUUUUGGUAGUCAUUAGCAUUCGAUGCGAUUGGAAAAAAGAGAUAGAGAUUAAACUUUGAUACUUAUUAAAUUCAUAUAUACAUGUUUUUAGUUUUUAUUUUUUAUUUUUUUAUACUUCUUUUGUUUUAUAAAUGUUAAUUUCUUGAGACAAUUGUAUUAUUUC